Molecule: non-coding RNA, 6522 nt
Organism: Xyrichtys novacula (pearly razorfish)
Lineage: Eukaryota; Metazoa; Chordata; Actinopteri; Labriformes; Labridae
Source: the annotation of a GenBank genome assembly
GUCUGUGUGUAGGCUCUUGAUGCUCUGACACCAGUCUCAGUCCAGUUCUUGUGAAGACUCCCUAAGUUCUUGAAUCUACUGAGUCCUCUGAAGGCUGCUCUUAUCUGUUCCUUUGUCUCCUUUUCCUUCCUCACUUUUUACUUCAGUCAACUUUCCAUGAAUCUGCUUCAUACAGACUGUGGACAGCCAGACUUUUCAGCAGGGACCUUCUGGGGUCGGCUGACCCACCUUGUUUAGGGGGUCGAUGGUUGUUUUUUGGACAACUGCAGGUCAGCAGUCUGCCCUGUGAUAUUGGUUGUGAAGGUUAAACUACAGAGACAUGUUAUCUUUUACCAAUAUUUAGAUUAUAACAAACUCAAACUCUCAAGAGUGUCAGACUGGGCUCAGACACUUUAUUUAAGGGUCUGAGUUUAGACAGCUGGAGAGAAAAUAUUAGUCAGAUUCAGAUGAACACUUCUUUUAUAUUUUUGUUUCACUGGGCAUAUAAAAGAUGAGCUUUAUUUUCCUGUGAGGGGAUUCCUUUUUUAUGAGUCCUAAUCCUCCUUUAAUUCCAGUUUUUAUUCACUUCAUAUUGUUUGAUCCAGCCGGAUUAUUGAGGAUUACAUCUUCUCUUAGAUGUUACAUAACAAACCUCUGAACUGCUUCCUUUCAACAACAGUCUAUUUCUUACCAACAUGUAAUUACAUUUAUGUGAAUGUCUGAAUGAAACAGGGAGGUGAAGGUCUUCCUGCUGCAGUCAGUCUAUAGACUCUGAGUCAGAUCUUAUGUCACUGUAAACACAGAGGCGUUGACUCUCAGAUCUACAGUUUCAUCUUUUUAGGCUGCAGGCUACGAGUGUGCAGUUAAAUCAUUUAAUGCAGUGAGACAGAGCGCUCUGAAAUGUUACCAUACCUGAACUUACCUGUCGGAACAUGUGGGGAGUCAGUCUGCAGCAGCAGAUGUACUGAGCAGCACUGAGCAGUGCCAUCUUGUGAUCAUUUAUUGUUACUGUCAGUCCCUUUUUUAUUGAAGCUCGGUUAUGUAGGUCACAAAGAUUUAGCUCACAUCUAAUUACACACCUGUUUGUCUUAAUGUGUGUGGGGGGAUCUAAACUUUUACCUGAAUACAGCCUGGGCACUUCAAAACGGUCCAAAGGAGCUGAGGUGUGCAACUGGAACCAGCUCUCAAGAAGACAGCCAUAAAGAGCCCCCACAACACACACAUAAACACACAUAAACACACAGACUCCCAGACGAAAAUGAUCCAAAUAUUGUGUAAUGUGUCAUAUCACUAGCCCUGUUGCUAUGGAGACAGUGACAGGAUGCUGGAGGUGAGGCGUCACGGUAACAGAUCUCACACACACAGACACACAUUAAACAUUACCAGCAGAGAAGCUAGUGAGCCACAAAAAAAAGAUGUCCUCACAGGAUUUUAGUGAUCACCAUAACAUUACCUUGGAGACCGAAGAGGUCCACUGACAGUCCUCUGUCAUCGCCAGCAAUUUGGAGAUAUUUUAAAGGUCAAAGGUCAAUCAGAUGAAAUGCCUGUUUGGGGCAAACCAGAGGGACUGAGUUAGGCGUUUGGGGCUUACCGAAACUUUACCUUCAGAUUGUCCCAGGUUUACAGUGUCUGUUAAAACCCCACAGCAUGCAUUUAAAUAUGUGUAUUGCUAAAAAUCAGUCUGACCCAGAAUUCUGUCUGUUCCGUCACCAUGGUGACAGUGAACAUAGGGUCACUGUCUCCAUGGUUACAGCAGCACAAGGUUGCAGAAACAUAAUAGGACUCUGAAUGGGAUGGCUGAGGCUCAGGAGGUAGGCUGGGUGUCCACUCAUGAUCAGAAGGUGCAGUUCAAUCGCUGGCCUCUAGAGUCCGCAUGUCAGAGUCCUUGAGUGAGAAACCCAAUCCCAGACUGCUUGUGAAAGUUGAGCCAUUGAUGUGUGAGUGUGUGUGACAGAGAGUGAAUGUGCCAUGUUGUGUAAACUCAGUGAGUUGUCAGAAGUCUCACCAUCCAGUUUCUCAUGGUUUGAUGUGGAAGAAAUUAGCUCCCAGUCUCAAGACUGCAUCAUGAAGUACCUUGUAUCUGUUUACUUUCUACCACGUGAUGUGAAAAGCUCUGUGCCCGCUGAUGGUCUUUAAAAGUUUCUCUGGAGUUUGUAGGGCCUGUAAAGCCUAAUUCUACCAGAACAGAGAUCUGGGAUGAACUCAUUUUCUAACAAUUCACUUUUGAUAUUGAGUUUAUAACUCUGGAUUUUCCAGAUCACUUCAAGACAGUCAGGCCCAGAUAUUUUAAGGAACUUGCCUUUCACACAUGCACCUCAACUCAGUCGCUCUCACAACUUGAUAUAGUUAGCUUGUUGAAAGUGGGUGUUGCAGGUGGGAUGGAAGAUAGGAUAGAAAUUUUACUGUCAUGAUAUAAAGACAGAAAACAAAACUUCACUUGGUAGCAUUCCUACACAGCAGCAUCACAAAAUCUGGUGAACAAUUAUUGAAGUAUAAAUACAUGUAAAGUAUGUUCAUCUGUCUCUGGUUCCUGAGAAUUCCUGUAUCAGUGCAUCGUGUCAUGGAAAUGAUCAGUCUGUGUCUCUGCUGGGGUCUUACUGGAGUCCAGGUCUCUCUGAUAGCUCUUUCAGCUGGUCUGUAUUGUUGCUCUGGUGUCUCUCCUGAUGAUCCUCCAGAGAUCCUCUAUGGGGUUUAGAUCAGACCAGUUGGCUGAACAAUCAAGCACAGUAAUAUCAUGAUCAGCAGAACAGUUUCUGGUAGUUUUGGCGCUGUGGGCAGGGUCCAGGUCCUGCUGGAAAAGUAAAUGGAUCUCCAUAAAGCUUCUCAGCAGAUGAAGCAUGAAGGUCUCUAAAACCUCCUGGUGGACUUAAGGCUGCGUUGACUCUGGACUUGAUAAAACACAGCAGACCAACAGCAGUAGAUGACAUAGUCCCCCAAACCAUCACAGACUGUGGAAACUUCACCCUGGAACUCAAUGAUGUGGGAUUAUGGGCCUCCUUGAUCUUCCUCCAGACUCUGGGACCUUGAUUUCCAAAUAAGACUUGGGACUUUGGACCACAGAGUAAUAGUUCAGUUCUUUGUCUUCUUAGUCCAGGUGAGACUCUUACAACGUUUCUCAGGUUCAGGAGUGUCUUGACAAUAGGACUAUGACGCUUGUAGUCAAUUUCCUUGGCCGGUCUUUGUGUAGAGGCUCUUGAUGCUCUGACACCAGUCUCAGUCCAGUUCUUGUGAAGACCCCCUAAGUUCUUAUAUCUACUUUGUCAGUCCUCUGAAGGUUUCUUUCAUCCCUGUUUCCUGGUCUCCUUCUCUUCCCUCACUUUUCCCCUUCAGUCAACUUUCCAUGAAUCUGCUGCAGACUCUGUGGACAGCCAGACUCUUUAGCAGGGACCUUCUGGGGUCGGCUGACCCUCCUUGUUUAGGGGGUCGAUGGUGGUCUUCUUAACAACUGUCAGGUCAGCAGUCUGAACUAUGAAUGUGGUUAUUUACUGACCCAGAGUAAGAGAAUAAAGACUCAAUUUACCCUUACAGAGUUGUUCAGAGUUCAUCAGCUGAUUAGAGACUUUUUCAGGACUGAAGUAACUGACAAAAAACUUUUACACAGUAUUCUGAUGAUUGGAGAGGGUGGGUUUUUGAGUUAUGCAGUCUGAGCAGAAGGAGGACUCUUUGAUAAUGUGGACUGUUCGUGCGUUAUCACUAGUACAGCGAGCAUAAGGGAUUCUCCACAGCACAAACAAAACUGUGUGAAACAUGCAAGCAGUGCAGUUCAGGAAGAGCAGUUCCACAUGUGUUUCUGUUAAAGGGGGCUUCCUCGCUGGUUACCAAGACAACACUUAGACACCAUAAGACCCCAUGACCUUAGCAGUCUCACAGGAAGUGAUUUAGGACAGAGUGUCCCUGUUAAGUGCAACUUCAAACACUCUUCACAUCACUGACAGCUGAGUCAUUAACAUGCAGGCAGGCAGGCGGGUGUCACAGAGUGAUCAGAUAAUCUAAGAAAACACACACACACACACACACACACACACACACACACACACACACACACACACACACACACACACACACACACACACACACACACACACACACACACAGAAUGAAUUCAUCUGUUCAUCCAGCCAUCCAUUCAUUAACACACCAUAUGACCUGAAAGCAAAACAUUAUGUAAACAUCCUUUCAUUCACCCUAAUUCAUUCUUUUUUUUUAUUCAUUCAUUCAAUCAUCUUUAUAUCAUUCACUCAUACUUACUUCUUCAUGGUAACAGGAGGUAAGAGUUAUGUCGGUUCACUGACUCAUGCAUUUACAGUUCCAACCAUUCAUUUAUCGCUGCACAGUUAUUUAUAUAAUCAUGAUCUGUUUAAAAAUUCAACCAUUUAUUUACCAAUUACAAACAUUUAUUCAUCUUUUCAUUCACUCAUGUUUCCAUUCAUUUAUCUCAUUCCAAUCCAGCUCUUAACUGUCUGAAUUAUUUUAUCUGCUUAAUUUUAUGGCUUUUCAUCCAUUCAUUUAGUUUGAGGAAUUAGACCUUCAUCUUUCUUCAGCAACUCAGCCAUCCAUCCAUCCAACAUGCUCCAGGCUCUCUUCAGCCGGCCUUUCAGGCAUCAGCUACGCUCAAGUUUCUGGCACACAUUUAGGUGUCUGCUAGUUUAUGGGCUCAGGAUCAGAAUCCACAUUCUCUUCAACUUCUUUAUUAUAAAUAUUUUUUGAUUUUUACCUUAUAUGAUGUAUGGAAAAAAGAAGCAUUGUUAGUUUUAUGCUGCUGAAUAAGUCUCACAAAGUCGAGAGAUGAUUAUAGUUUACUUUUAUAUUCAAUGUGAGUGACGUUUGCGCUACAUUCAACAAUGAAGAGGGGAAAUGUUGAAAGUACGGCACACAUGCAGAACUACAUGACGACACUUUAUCGUCUGAUUAUAUUGUAGAAAAGAAUAUUAAUUAGCUCCCACAUAAAAUACUUAAAAUCUUGCUUGAUUAUUAUUUAAGCAAGUUUAAACUAACAAACUAAAAGAUACGUGAUUUUUCUAUAUAGUCUUCUAUUAAGCAAACUUGUUUAAAUGAUUAAACUUGCUAAAAUUAUUAUUUUUAUCGAAUUUCCCUUCAGGGAUCAAUAAACACUCUUCUUCUCCUUAUAAAUGUUUUUUCCCUGUUUUACUCUCAGCCUGUUGUAUAGUUGUGUUCUUACUUAAGAUGGCUGAGUUAAUUCAAAUGAAUUUGAUAACUUUGUUGUUUAUGUGUUUUACUCUACAUCUAUUGUCACCCUUGAGAGGGUCUAAAGCUACAGCCCCCUAAAGGAUUUCUGCAUUAUUUCAACGAUACGGCCGGCACCUUAAUAUGACAUAAGGCCUGGUGUAACCCAUACACGGAGUAACAUUUGCAACUCACAGAAUACUGCUUAUCACGGUUCAUGGACUGUAAUGUCUACACAACGUGUAGGCUACUUAAGUUACUAAUCACAGCACAUAGACUCCCCUCAGUAAGUUAGACACAACAACACGAGCCACACUCCUUGUAACUCACUGCUCAUUCCGCUAACGUUACACAAUGUGGCGAACACCAGGCUGCUAACAGUACUUUACAUUCAUAGCACCAUUUCCAAGAACAUAAUAAAGUACUCGGUCCAGUACAUGUAACAGCAACACAUCCUGCUCGUACUGAACAGAGUCACUUACUUAUCCAGUAGUAUCAAGGCAACAUCGGUGUCGGACCUCAGUACAAUCUCCCCCUUCAGGGCUCUCCAUCGAGGAAAAGCGACGCUGAUGUAAAUCCGCAUUCGUCUUCUCCGUUUAUCACUCUCUUUCUUCGCCAACAGAUCUUCUCCUGAACAGGAAGACUUUUUCUUUUUAGCAGAAUCCACUUGUGAACCUCUUGGUCACUUCUUCAGGUUCUCCGCCAUGUUUUUUCAAGCAGCACUCUCCUCCCCCCUCCCUUCUCGUUGUCAGGUAAAACCGAGUAGAGCAUGUCAUUUCCUGAGUGCCAGUGUGGGAAUGUUAACCCGCAACACCAAACACAAAAAGAACAAAUAUUGAAAAAUACCACGAGGUGUUAGAGGAGCCGGAAGGCUUAAUCAGCGUUGUGUCAUCUCCUUUUAUAGUGGCUUGGGUGAAACAGAUAUUUACAGACACGUACAAGUCACUCACUAUGGCUUUAAGCUUGUAACGAAACCAAUUAAAAUGCCAUGAAAUUAACAUAUUUCAGUAUUUUAUAUGCAGCAGAAUUUCAAAAGCAGGAGUUAAAUUGUGUUUUUGUUCUGCUCGUCUUCUUUUUUUUUUUUUUUUUUAACUAGUUUUACUUACAGUGAGUAGAAAUAGGAAUAUUUAGACAGAGCCUGUGGUUAGAUUUUGGAUUCAGAUACUGCCUUGCUCACACCUCCUUUUGGUGAAUCUUCACAUAAGAAACCCCUGUGGUGCAUGAUAAAUGUGAACCUCUAUUUGCCAAGUUCUUGAAAAACAUCAAAAUUAUCUACCAAGAAAAAUUCUUUACAACAGCAACCAACAUCCUUUUUUCUCCUUCUUAUUCUAACCCAUGCAAUAUGUGCAGCAACACAAA